Molecule: long non-coding RNA, 399 nt
Organism: Chinchilla lanigera (long-tailed chinchilla)
Lineage: Eukaryota; Metazoa; Chordata; Mammalia; Rodentia; Chinchillidae
Exons: 4
Source: RefSeq, a predicted model, not a curated record
GGGAUUUCUUCUUGGGAAGAACAUCAAAUGGCAUUUCGUUGGAAACUAGCUGUUCUGGGAUCGAAGAGGACAACAGAGGGAGAGAAGUGAUAUCUCUAAUUGUCACAAAUAGGGAAGGGACAAGGAAAAGGAGGAAAUAUAAAGGCAGCAACUGCAUAAUCAAGAGGAUGAACAAUUACGAAGUGAAGAUCCUGGCACUGAAGAGCCUGGGCUUGGGAAUCCAGGUUUGAAGCUUUGGCAACUACAGUUCAGAGUACAGCCGAUAGUCUGCAAAAGAGGAGGAUAAAUACCGAUCUGUGUGGCAAUCAACUCUGAAAGGUUUUCAGCGGCCACGCAGUAAAAGGAACAACAAUCUCAACUAAGAGCGAUCCAUGUAUGGAAUUUGUUAUUCCCAUCCCC